This 173-nucleotide ribosomal RNA is filed under the name Nothophoma prosopidis. RNAcentral's name for it is "Verrucoconiothyrium prosopidis partial 18S ribosomal RNA". It matches the Rfam family "Eukaryotic small subunit ribosomal RNA", at positions 1661 to 1831 of the family's 1831-position model. The record is from RNAcentral. Lineage: Eukaryota; Fungi; Ascomycota; Dothideomycetes; Pleosporales; Didymellaceae.
UGUACACACCGCCCGUCGCUACUACCGAUUGAAUGGCUCAGUGAGGCCUUCGGACUGGCUCGAAGAGGUUGGCAACGACCACUUCGAGCCGGAAAGUUCGUCAAACUCGGUCAUUUAGAGGAAGUAAAAGUCGUAACAAGGUUUCCGUAGGUGAACCUGCGGAAGGAUCAUUA